RNAcentral lists this ribosomal RNA (305 nucleotides) under uncultured bacterium. RNAcentral's name for it is "bacterial SSU rRNA". It matches the Rfam family "Bacterial small subunit ribosomal RNA", at positions 334 to 637 of the family's 1533-position model. The record is from RNAcentral.
GAGCCCUACGGGAGGCAGCAGUGGGGAAUAUUGGACAAUGGGGGGAACCCUGAUCCAGCGACGCCGCGUGAGUGAAGAAGUAUUUCGGUAUGUAAACCUCUUUUGUCAGGGAGCAAAGGCGUCCACGAGUGGACGAAAGGAGAGUACCUGAAGAAAAAGCAUCGGCUAACUCCGUGCCAGCAGCCGCGGUAAUACGGAGGAUGCGAGCGUUAUCCGGAUUUAUUGGGUUUAAAGGGUGCGUAGGCGGAGUGUCAAGUCAGCGGUAAAAUUUCGGGGCUCAACCCCGUCGUGCCGUUGAAACUGAC